UGUAGUUGUGUUGUUGUGGGGUGUGGUGUUGCUGGGGCGUAGUUGGGUUGUUGUGGGGCGUAGCUGGGUUGUUGUGGGGUGUGGUUGGGUGUUGUGGGGUGUAGUUGUGUUGUUGUGGGGGUUGUUGUGGGGUGUGGUUGUGUUGUUGUGGGGUGGGGUUGUGUUGUUGUGGGGUGCGGUUGUGUUGUUGUGGGGUGGUUGUGUUGUUGUGGGGUGUGGUUGUGUUGUGGGGUGUGGUUGUGUUGCUGCAGUGUAGCUGUGUUGUUGUGGGGCGUAGCUGUGUUGUUGGGGGGUGUAGCUGGGUUGUGGGGUGUGGUUGUGUUGUUGUGGGGCGUGGUUGUGUUGUUGUGGGGUGUGGUUGUGUUGUUGGGGUGUGGUUGUGUUGUUGUGG
This 391-nucleotide long non-coding RNA is filed under the name Numida meleagris (helmeted guineafowl). Its description in RNAcentral is "lncRNA (ENSNMEG00000004253.1)". Lineage: Eukaryota; Metazoa; Chordata; Aves; Galliformes; Numididae. The record is from RNAcentral.